GGUUGGCUGAGACGUUGGUGACUGCCAUUAAAGUUUUGUGAUCUAUGACUUUAAUAAGUAAGGGAACCAAAGUCGUCUUGUAGCGGUAAACCGGACCAGUAUCCGGAAACUUUAAACGAGAUGUAAGGUGCCCACCUGGUUUUACCAGGUCAUAAACUUAGGUAAAACGGCGUUGCGGCUAACCC
This 185-nucleotide non-coding RNA is filed under the name Mastigocoleus testarum BC008. RNAcentral's name for it is "6S / SsrS RNA". It matches the Rfam family "6S / SsrS RNA". From Rfam's summary of the family: E. coli 6S RNA was the first non coding RNA to be sequenced, but its function was unknown until recently. Lineage: Bacteria; Bacillati; Cyanobacteriota; Cyanophyceae; Nostocales; Hapalosiphonaceae. The record is from Rfam by way of RNAcentral.